UACGAAGGGGGCUAGCGUUGCUCGGAAUCACUGGGCGUAAAGCGCACGUACGCGGAUUGCUAAGUCAGGGGUGAAAUCCUGGAGCUCAACUCCAGAACUGCCUUUGAUACUGGCGACCUUGAGUCCGGGAGAGGUGAGUGGAACUGCGAGUGUAGAGGUGAAAUUCGUAGAUAUUCGCAAGAACACCAGUGGCGAAGGCGGCUCACUGGCCCGGUACUGACGCUGAGGUGCGCAAGCGUGGGGAGCAAACAGG
Molecule: ribosomal RNA, 253 nt
Filed under: uncultured bacterium
Lineage: Bacteria
Description: partial 16S ribosomal RNA
Rfam family: Bacterial small subunit ribosomal RNA
Source: RNAcentral